AAUAAGACAUCUGAAGCCCAUGUCCAGGAUCCGUCUGUGUGUGGUGGCUCUUGAUGCACUGACUCCAGCCUCAGUCUACUCCUUGUGAAAGUCCCCAACACAUUUGAAUGUCCUUUUCCUGACAAUCCUCUCCAGGCUGCGGUCAUCCCUGCUGCUUGUGCACCUUUUUCUUCCACACUUUUCCCUUCCACAUAACUUUCUAUUAAUGUGCUUUGAUACAGCACUUUGGGAACAUCCAACCUCAUU
Non-coding RNA from Pelobates cultripes (western spadefoot toad), 246 nucleotides. The record is from the annotation of a GenBank genome assembly. Lineage: Eukaryota; Metazoa; Chordata; Amphibia; Anura; Pelobatidae.